AACGGCCCACAACACAUUAUGGUAAUAUUGAUCUGGUUGUAUCUGAGAGGUAGGAGAGACAGGAGGGACAGGGCUGUAGAACGGACCACAACACAUUAUGGUAAUAUUGAUCUGGUUGUAUCUGAGAGAUAGGAGAGACAGGAGGGACAGGGCUGUAGAACGGACCACAACACAUUAUGGUAAUAUUGAUCUGGUUGUAUCUGAGAGAUAGGAGAGACAGGAGGGACAGGGCUGUAGAACGGACCACAACACAUUAUGGUAAUAUUGAUCUGGUUGUAUCUGAGAGGUAGGAGAGACAGGAGGGACAGGGCUGUAGAACGGCCCACAACACAUUAUGGUAAUAUUGAUCUGGUUGUAUCUGAGAGGUAGGAGAGACAGGAGGGACAGGGCUGUAGAACGGACCACAACACAUUAUGGUAAUAUUGAUCUGGUUGUAUCUGAGAGAUAGGAGAGACAGGAGGGACAGGGCUGUAGAACGGCCCACAACACAUUAUGGUAAUAUUGAUCUGGUUGUAUCUGAGAGAUAGGAGAGACAGGAGGGACAGGGCUGUAGAACGGCCCACAACACAUUAUGGUAAUAUUGAUCUGGUUGUAUCUGAGAGAUAGGAGAGACAGGAGGGACAGGGCUGUAGAACGGCCCACAACACAUUAUGGUAAUAUUGAUCUGGUUGUAUCUGAGAGAUAGGAGAGACAGGAGGGACAGGGCUGUAGAACGGCCCACAACACAUUAUGGUAAUAUUGAUCUGGUUGUAUCUGAGAGAUAGGAGAGACAGGAGGGACAGGGCUGUAGAACGGCCCACAACACAUUAUGGUAAUAUUGAUCUGGUUGUAUCUGAGAGGUAGGAGAGACAGGAGGGACAGGGCUGUAGAACGGACCACAACACAUUAUGGUAAUAUUGAUCUGGUUGUAUCUGAGAGGUAGGAGAGACAGGAGGGACAGGGCUGUAGAACGGCCCACAACACAUUAUGGUAAUAUUGAUCUGGUUGUAUCUGAGAGGUAGGAGAGACAGGAGGGACAGGGCUGUAGAACGGCCCACAACACAUUAUGGUAAUAUUGAUCUGGUUGUAUCUGAGAGGUAGGAGAGACAAGAGGGACAGGGCUGUAGAACGGCCCACAACACAUUAUGGUAAUAUUGAUCUGGUUGUAUCUGAGAGGUAGGAGAGACAGGAGGGACAGGGCUGUAGAACGGACCACAACACAUUAUGGUAAUAUUGAUCUGGUUGUAUCUGAGAGAUAGGAGAGACAGGAGGGACAGGGCUGUAGAACGGACCACAACACAUUAUGGUAAUAUUGAUCUGGUUGUAUCUGAGAGAUAGGAGAGACAGGAGGGACAGGGCUGUAGAACGGCCCACAACACAUUAUGGUAAUAUUGAUCUGGUUGUAUCUGAGAGAUAGGAGAGACAGGAGGGACAGGGCUGUAGAACGGCCCACAACACAUUAUGGUAAUAUUGAUCUGGUUGUAUCUGAGAGAUAGGAGAGACAGGAGGGACAGGGCUGUAGAACGGCCCACAACACAUUAUGGUAAUAUUGAUCUGGUUGUAUCUGAGAGAUAGGAGAGACAGGAGGGACAGGGCUGUAGAACGGCCCACAACACAUUAUGGUAAUAUUGAUCUGGUUGUAUCUGAGAGGUAGGAGAGACAGGAGGGACAGGGCUGUAGAACGGCCCACAACACAUUAUGGUAAUAUUGAUCUGGUUGUAUCUGAGAGGUAGGAGAGACAGGAGGGACAGGGCUGUAGAACGGCCCACAACACAUUAUGGUAAUAUCUAAGGGUUCAUCCCAAAUAGCACCCUAUUCCCUAUGUAGUGCACUCCUUUUGAAAACAGACCGAUAAUGUGUAUUUACUGUUGUAAGAGAAGCGACAGAAAGAUAUAUUUACAAAUACAAUUAUGUAUCUUAAAAUAACAUUUAAUUUGAAAAGCA
This is a long non-coding RNA of Oncorhynchus keta (chum salmon), 1923 nucleotides long. RefSeq lists it as uncharacterized. The transcript is spliced from 10 exons. The record is from RefSeq and is a predicted model, not a curated record. Lineage: Eukaryota; Metazoa; Chordata; Actinopteri; Salmoniformes; Salmonidae.